UUAGUUGGUGGAGUGAUUUGUCUGGUUAAUUCCGUUAACGAACGAGACCUUAACCUGCUAAAUAGUUACGCGAGCCUGCUAUUCGUACCUCACAUGCAAGCCCAAAGGGUAAUUCCUGCAAGUUUGUUUGUGUGGGUCAGCUUGGCUCUGCGGCAAACUUCUUAGAGGGACUAUUCGUUUCCAGCGAAUGGAAGUUUGAGGCAAUAACAGG
RNAcentral lists this ribosomal RNA (211 nucleotides) under uncultured eukaryote. RNAcentral describes it as "partial small subunit ribosomal RNA". It matches the Rfam family "Eukaryotic small subunit ribosomal RNA", at positions 1294 to 1460 of the family's 1831-position model. The record is from RNAcentral.